This 578-nucleotide ribosomal RNA is filed under the name Granaster nutrix. Its description in RNAcentral is "partial 16S ribosomal RNA". It matches the Rfam family "Bacterial large subunit ribosomal RNA", at positions 1816 to 2597 of the family's 2925-position model. The record is from RNAcentral. Lineage: Eukaryota; Metazoa; Echinodermata; Asteroidea; Forcipulatida; Asteriidae.
CGCUCUUUGCAAAAUAAUUUGAGUAUAAAGAGUUCUGCCUGCCCAGUGACGUUGUUAAACGGCCGCGGUAUCUUGACCGUGCAAAGGUAGCAUAAUCAUUUGCCUUUUAAAUGGGGGCCGGUAUGAAUGGCAAGACGGAGGUUAAGCUGUCUUUUUCUUUUGUCUUGAAAUUAAUGUUUUUGUGAAGAAGCAGAAAUUUAUUCGUAGGACGAGAAGACCCUGUCGAGCUUUAAUUUAAAUAUUAGCAAUAAUUUAGCUUUAAAAAUCUAAUUUAAUUAAAUUUUGGUUUAGCUAAAAAUUAGUUUUGUGUAAGAAAAAUUGUGUAAUAUUACUGUUUUGGUUGGGGCAAUCAUGGAGAAAAUAAAUCCUCCAUUAUAUUAAAAAAAAGAUACAACUUUGUUAAAAAAAAGUGAUCCGACUAAGUGGUCGAGCAAAGGAACAAGUUACCGCAGGGAUAACAGCGUAAUUUUUUUGGAGAGUUCAUAUUGAUAAGAAAGUUUGCGACCUCGAUGUUGGAUCGGGAUUUCCUGGGGAUGCAGCAGUUUCUAAGGGUUGGUCUGUUCGACCAUUAAAAUCCU